Molecule: non-coding RNA, 103 nt
Filed under: Streptococcus sp.
Lineage: Bacteria; Bacillati; Bacillota; Bacilli; Lactobacillales; Streptococcaceae
Description: TPP sequence
Rfam family: TPP riboswitch aptamer (THI element)
About the family: Vitamin B(1) in its active form thiamin pyrophosphate (TPP) is an essential coenzyme that is synthesised by coupling of pyrimidine and thiazole moieties in bacteria. The previously detected thiamin-regulatory element, thi box was extended, resulting in a new, highly conserved RNA secondary structure, the THI element, which is widely distributed in eubacteria and also occurs in some archaea.
Source: RNAcentral
AGGACUAUAUAUGGGAGUCUGUGUACAGUCUGAGAGGAAGUGUAAGCUUCGACCGCACCUGAUCUGGGUAAUGCCAGCGUAGGGAAAUGUAUUUGUAAAAACC